RNAcentral lists this ribosomal RNA (56 nucleotides) under Amanita sp. 'M15'. RNAcentral describes it as "Amanita sp. 'sp-M15' partial 28S ribosomal RNA". The record is from RNAcentral. Lineage: Eukaryota; Fungi; Basidiomycota; Agaricomycetes; Agaricales; Amanitaceae.
UUUGACCUCAAAUCAGGUAGGACUACCCGCUGAACUUAAGCAUAUCACUAAGCGGA